This 88-nucleotide non-coding RNA is filed under the name Cupriavidus metallidurans. RNAcentral's name for it is "Glycine sequence". It matches the Rfam family "Glycine riboswitch aptamer". Rfam says of the family: This family represents the bacterial glycine riboswitch. Glycine riboswitches usually consist of two metabolite-binding aptamers domains with similar structures in tandem. Lineage: Bacteria; Pseudomonadati; Pseudomonadota; Betaproteobacteria; Burkholderiales; Burkholderiaceae. RNAcentral also lists the same sequence under 1 other name. The record is from RNAcentral.
CGCAUCCGGCCGGGAGAGCGCGCAGCGAUUGCGCCGCCGAAGGGGUAUCACCCGAAAACUCUCAGGCACCAUGGACUGGCUGGAUCGG